UACGUAGGGUGCAAGCGUUAAUCGGAAUUACUGGGCGUAAAGCGUGCGCAGGCGGUGAUGCAAGACAGAUGUGAAAUCCCCGGGCUUAACCUGGGAACUGCAUUUGUGACUGCAUCGCUGGAGUGCGGCAGAGGGGGAUGGAAUUCCGCGUGUAGCAGUGAAAUGCGUAGAUAUGCGGAGGAACACCGAUGGCGAAGGCAAUCCCCUGGGCCUGCACUGACGCUCAUGCACGAAAGCGUGGGGAGCAAACAGG
RNAcentral lists this ribosomal RNA (253 nucleotides) under uncultured bacterium. Its description in RNAcentral is "partial 16S ribosomal RNA". It matches the Rfam family "Bacterial small subunit ribosomal RNA", at positions 524 to 776 of the family's 1533-position model. The record is from RNAcentral.